CGAGUCUUCUAUGCUUGUCUUUCGGGGUUACUUACGAGUUCCUAGUAACUCUUGCUGUUAUACCCUGGGAAAAGUCCCCGGGUCUAGGAUAGAAAGUAUCAAGGCGUAAAAAGUAAUUAUAUUUAAAUGCUCCGAAGGCUCUCGCGUUCGCGCGUUAGUUUUCUUCUGUGCAUUUAAAAUAAUAUUCGCCUAUAUUCCAUGGAAAUUCUCUUAGCAUGAAAAUCAAUGAAGAGUCAAGUUUUGACGAAUUGAAAUGGCUAAGUGUCCAUGGAAACGUGCCAGAUAAAAAUUCUUAGCAAUAGACAACCGAAAUGCGUGCCGGUUUUCUCUCAGAAAUCGGAAUGUGUUUACAUAAUGGGGCUUACAUUGGGAGAUUC
Molecule: RNase MRP RNA, 377 nt
Filed under: Glossina palpalis gambiensis
Lineage: Eukaryota; Metazoa; Arthropoda; Insecta; Diptera; Glossinidae
Description: rNase MRP
Rfam family: RNase MRP
About the family: RNase MRP is an enzymatically active ribonucleoprotein with two distinct roles in eukaryotes. In mitochondria it plays a direct role in the initiation of mitochondrial DNA replication.
Source: RNAcentral